This 1775-nucleotide long non-coding RNA is filed under the name Felis catus (domestic cat). Its description in RNAcentral is "lncRNA (ENSFCAG00000053274.1)". Lineage: Eukaryota; Metazoa; Chordata; Mammalia; Carnivora; Felidae. The record is from RNAcentral.
GUGGGUCCUGAGACUUUCCAAUUAUAUAUUACUUUUUUUUAAAAUUUUUUUUAAUGUUUAUUUAUUUUUGAGACAGAGAGAGACAGAGCAUGAAUGGGGGAGGGGCAGACAGAGAGGGAAACACAGAAUCGGAAGCAGGCUCCAGGCUCUGAGCCAUCAGCCCAGAGCCCGACGCGGGGCUCGAACUCACGGACCGCGAGAUCGUGACCUGGCUGAAGUCGGACGCGUAACCGACUGCGCCACCCAGGCGCCCCGACAUCACCUAAUUUAAUAGUUGUAGCAACUAUGGGGUGCCUGGCUGGCUCCGUCGGUAGGCAUGCGACUCUUGAUCUCAGGGUCGGGAGUUCAAGCCCCACAUUGGGCAUGGAGCCUACUUAAAGUUAAAAAAAAAAUAGUCAACUCUAUACGGAAGGCCUUAUCAUCACUAUUUAGGAGAUGUUGAAACUCAGACCUAACAAAGAUUAAGUGGCCCACCUAAAGUCACGCAGUGUAGACACUAUUGUCCAUGACCAUGUUGGAUUCCUCUUCCAUUCCCUUAUUCUGGCACCAGACCCUGCACCCUGACCCCUGUGACUGAUGGCUCUUGAGAGGGGCAUAUGCCGCAAGCUGAGCCAAUCGAAACGCUUCUCUGGGAUUUUUCUCUCUGGAGCUGGAGGUAAAGGUAAAGAGCUCUCUCUGGUUGUAUAGCUCCUCUUUCUAGAAACUUCUUUUCCCUUCAUAUCCACACGAGUAGAGAGAACAGCCACGUUAGCACUUGACCCUGCCUCUGGAUACAGUUGAUUGGUUCAAGGGUGAAAACUUGACCCAAGAAAGACUAAUCAGUUCUGUAGUGGUGUUGAUAUGUAUCCACAAGUUCUUUGACACUCUUCCUUCCAAACGGUUAAGCCUAAUUUCCCUCCCCUUGAAUAUGGGCUGGACUUAGUGCCUUGCUUUUAAUGAAUAGAAUGAUGGUAUUUGACUUCUGAGGCAGGUCAUAAAAAGGAUCGUUUCUGGCUGAUGUUCUCUGUCUUUCACUCACCUCAGGGGAAGCCAACUGCUAUGCUUGAUUGACGACACUCAAGCAGCCUAUAGACAGGCCCAUGUGGUGAAGAACUAUGACAACCAGAACUACCCCUGGAUUCCUGACCCACAGAAACUAUUGAAAAAGACCAGUCUGAAAUGGACCAGAGAUGAGCAAUGGAGGGAGACGAAAUUUCUGAUGGCCUACCAGUUCCUGCAUCCAGCUGUUCCUGAAACCCAGCCAGGUCCCGCCUUUAAUAAUAGCAGGGGCAGCAGCAACAACAAACAUUUACUGAAUGCCUAUAAUAAAUCCCACCUUUUGCUAAUUUAGCUCCUCUUACUUGCGACCGAGAAAGUCUUAAAGAGCCCAAUAUCCAUUGCAACAAUAUCUGGAAGGGGAGAGAAUGUGCUAAGGGAAUGUGCUAAGGGAACGAAAUUUAAAUCAAGGUUUACAAAAAGACACAAGUGGGAAAUCAUGCAAGACUGUAACUGAGUCAUGCAUAAAUUUUGCCUAGACCUUCUCUGUGCUUAGGGCCCCUUGUGCGGGGAGCACAGCCCCACAGGGAGGCAUUCAUGGAUCGGAUGCCAAACAGAUUCAGGCAGGGGGAAUGGGCGAAGAAGACAAAGCAAGGCACAUUUCCGAAAGCUUUCUGAAUCUUUAAAAUUAGGACCUAAAUCUAUCUUCUUAUCAAGAAUGGCAGGGGUGGGAGAUGGCGUUGGAAGGCGGAGGUUUUUCAACCAAUAAAGCGCUGCCUCCCUCACUUCUAUAUUCUUUU